Molecule: long non-coding RNA, 627 nt
Organism: Eupeodes corollae
Lineage: Eukaryota; Metazoa; Arthropoda; Insecta; Diptera; Syrphidae
Exons: 3
Source: RefSeq, a predicted model, not a curated record
AAAAUCUUUAUUGCAGAAAACAACUGACAUCAAACGAAAACGUGGAACUCGUAGAACACCACUUAAAAAACGUCUACAAAGGAAAAAUAGUUUAACUGCAAAUUUAAGGACUAACCUGUUUAACUGGUGAAACUCAACUUUUUCCACACACCUUUAUGAACAUUUGCAUUUUUGGAAGCAUUUUUGUGGUGCCAAAAUGAGAAAUUCAAAUUGAAAUUAAAUUUUACCAGCCAAGGAGUAAGAAAAAGUCCUUUUAACCAGAUGACCAAAUCGGAAUCACAGAACGAGGAAGUAAUUGAUUGAGAAUGAGCAUAGAAGAGGAACCUGUCGGUAAUCGAAGCGGCCACUAAGUUAUAGUUUCUAAUUGGCAUACAUAUGUACCAGGUUAAUAGCAAUUGUAAUUUGGAAUAUGUAUUAUAUGUACUACAAUUUAAGCUUUCAGUUUUUAAAACUUGAGUAACAUCUGGUUUUUAGGCUUCCCGAUAGAAUCAAUCAGCAAAUCCGUCAACUACAUGCAUGAGAACGAGCUCUUUUCUAUGCCAUCAAAUCAUUCGACUCAACCGGUGUUAUCAAAUAAAAAUGUUUUUCUUAAGUAACUUUGUUUUAGCAGUCGUCUUAAGUCUGACA